UACGAAGGGUGCAAGCGUUACUCGGAAUUACUGGGCGUAAAGCGUGCGUAGGCGGUUUGUUAAGUCUGUCGUGAAAGCCCCGGGCUCAACCUGGGAAUGGCGAUGGAAACUGGCGAGCUAGAGUACGGUAGAGGAGAGUGGAAUUCCCGGUGUAGCAGUGGAAUGCGUAGAGAUCCGGAGGAACACCAGCGGCGAAGGCGGCAUCCUGGACUGGUCCUGACACUCAGGAGCGAAAGCGUGGGGAGCAAACGGG
RNAcentral lists this ribosomal RNA (253 nucleotides) under uncultured bacterium. RNAcentral describes it as "partial 16S ribosomal RNA". It matches the Rfam family "Bacterial small subunit ribosomal RNA", at positions 524 to 776 of the family's 1533-position model. The record is from RNAcentral.